UGUUGAGCAUUGGUCUGCAAUGCAACAAACUACCAGCAUCUUGAGCAGCAGCAGCAUGUCUGUUUGAAGAUUGAACCAGAAGCAACUUUUUUGUUUAAAUUUUGUAUUUUUGUGAUGUUAACAAGUUGGCAAGUAGCUUGAUAUCUAAAGCUAGUAUUUUUAGAUUUGAAAUUGAUGGAUGUAACAGCUGAAUUUUUCAGCUUUUCUUUUGUAAUAUUUUAGUUGGCAACUUGCCAAAUUUGGUAGGAGCAGUUACAGUUUAGGUAACUGACUUAUUAUUAUUUUUGUAACUCCUUUAUAUUUUGAAAUGGAAAUGAAAGCUGCGGGAUUUUGCUUCAUCGGUU
RNAcentral lists this long non-coding RNA (344 nucleotides) under Gossypium barbadense (sea-island cotton). Its description in RNAcentral is "long non-coding RNA (GBAR_LNC012347)". The record is from RNAcentral. Lineage: Eukaryota; Viridiplantae; Streptophyta; Magnoliopsida; Malvales; Malvaceae.